AUUGAACGCUGGCGGCAUGCCUUACACAUGCAAGUCGAACGGCAGCACGGGUGCUUGCACCUGGUGGCGAGUGGCGAACGGGUGAGUAAUACAUCGGAACAUGUCCUGGAGGGGGGGAUAGCCCGGCGAAAGCCGGAUUAAUACCGCAUACGAUCUACGGAUGAAAGCGGGGGACCUUCGGGCCUCGCGCUAUAGGGUUGGCCGAUGGCGGAUUAGCUAGUUGGUGGGGUAAAGGCCUACCAAGGCGACGAUCAGUAGCUGGUCUGAGAGGACGACCAGCCACACUGGGACUGAGACACGGCCCAGACUCCUACGGGAGGCAGCAGUGGGGAAUUUUGGACAAUGGGCGAAAGCCUGAUCCAGCAAUGCCGCGUGUGUGAAGAAGGCCUUCGGGUUGUAAAGCACUUUUGUCCGGAAAGAAAUCCUUGGCCCUAAUACGGUCGGGGGAUGACGUUACCGGAAGAAUAAGCACCGGCUAACUACGUG
Molecule: ribosomal RNA, 486 nt
Filed under: uncultured bacterium
Lineage: Bacteria
Description: partial 16S ribosomal RNA
Rfam family: Bacterial small subunit ribosomal RNA
Source: RNAcentral